UAGGGAAUCUUCCACAAUGGACGCAAGUCUGAUGGAGCAACGCCGCGUGAGUGAAGAAGGUCUUCGGAUCGUAAAACUCUGUUGUUAGAGAAGAACACGAGUGAGAGUAACUGUUCAUUCGAUGACGGUAUCUAACCAGCAAGUCACGGCUAACUACGUGCCAGCAGCCGCGGUAAUACGUAGGUGGCAAGCGUUGUCCGGAUUUAUUGGGCGUAAAGGGAACGCAGUCGGUCUUUUAAGUCUGAUGUGAAAGCCUUCGGCUUAACCGGAGUAGUGCAUUGGAAACUGGAAGACUUGAGUGCAGAAGAGGAGAGUGGAACUCCAUGUGUAGCGGUGAAAUGCGUAGAUAUAUGGAAGAACACCAGUGGCGAAAGCGGCUCUCUGGUCUGUAACUGACGCUGAGGUUCGAAAGCGUGGGUAGCAAACAGGAUUAGAUACCCUGGUAGUCCACGCCGUAAACGAUGAAUGCUAGGUGUUGGAGGGUUUCCGCCCUUCAGUGCCGCAGCUAACGCAAUAAGCAUUCCGCCUGGGGAGUACGACCGCAAGGUUG
This 550-nucleotide ribosomal RNA is filed under the name uncultured bacterium. RNAcentral describes it as "bacterial SSU rRNA". It matches the Rfam family "Bacterial small subunit ribosomal RNA", at positions 355 to 896 of the family's 1533-position model. The record is from RNAcentral.